Molecule: long non-coding RNA, 425 nt
Organism: Toxotes jaculatrix (banded archerfish)
Lineage: Eukaryota; Metazoa; Chordata; Actinopteri; Toxotidae
Exons: 3
Source: RefSeq, a predicted model, not a curated record
AGGAUGGGUCACUUGGAAGAAUUGUAAAUGAUGACCAUAUAAAUCCCAAUGCCAAGAUGAAGACCUUGACAGUGGAAGGGAAGCCCCAUCUGUGUUUGUUUGCAACACGUGACAUAAGUCCAGGAGAGGAGAUCACCUAUAAUUAUGGUGACUCAGACUGGCCGUGGAGAUGCAAGACACUUGAAGAAACGUCUACGAAGGGGCAAAAGGCUGAGGUAUCACCCAUAUCAGAGCCCUCUACAAGUACUCAAAAGGCAUCAACAGGUCGGCGACCAAAAAAAGCAUCUUCGACUGCAUCAACUGGUCUUAUCAAAAGCUUUGAUGAGCAGUGUCAAAAUCAUCGCCUUGUGUGCACAACAGUAUCCUCCUUGGACAGAUGCAUUCAGUGUGUGGGGCCUGUAUCCUCCUUUAAGUGGCUUGGCUAU